RNAcentral lists this ribosomal RNA (330 nucleotides) under Pheidole sciara. Its description in RNAcentral is "partial 12S ribosomal RNA". Lineage: Eukaryota; Metazoa; Arthropoda; Insecta; Hymenoptera; Formicidae. The record is from RNAcentral.
AAUUAAUUAAUAAGANAUUAAGUGAGAUCAUUAAAUUUAAAUAAUUUGGCGGUAUUUUAAAUAGUUAGAGGAAUUUGUUAGUUAAAUGAUACUCCACGAAUGGAAUGUCCUGAUGAAGUUUUUAUGUAUUGUUGUAUAAAAAUUAUUUUAUAAGAAUUAUAAUUAAUAUAUUAUAUUUAAUUUGAAUUCAAAUCAAAAUGUAGAAUUAUUAGGAUUAAAUGAAUUACAGUUUAAUAUAAUAUUAGAAUUAUUUUUUUAAUUAAAAUAAUAAAAGAGGAUUUAAAAGUAAAUUUAAAUAAAUAUUUAAAUUGAAAUUUUAAUUAAAAUAUG